UACGUAGGAUCCAAGCGUUGUCCGGAUUUACUGGGUGUAAAGGGUGCGCAGGCGGACUUGUUAGUCAGAGGUGAAAUCUCACUGCUCAACAGUGAAACUGCCUUUGAUACUGCAGGUCUUUGAAUCCAGAAGAGAGUUGUGGAAUUCCGAGUGUAGCAGUGAAAUGUGUAGAUAUUCGGAAGAACACCAGCGGCGAAGGCAGCAACUUGGUCUGGUAUUGACGCUCAGGCACGAAAGCAUGGGGAUCAAACAGGAGUUAGAAAACCCGGAUGUAACG
RNAcentral lists this ribosomal RNA (277 nucleotides) under uncultured bacterium. RNAcentral describes it as "partial 16S ribosomal RNA". It matches the Rfam family "Bacterial small subunit ribosomal RNA", at positions 524 to 797 of the family's 1533-position model. The record is from RNAcentral.